GGACUUCUUGUGAAUUUUCUCAAACGGCCCAACCAUGCUUUUUAUAUAGAUUAGACUUGGUUUUCCCGUUUGAAUGUUUUACACUAGUAUUUUAUGGGGCCCUUUAUAGCUUGCUGUUCGGUUUGAGCCAAGGCUCCGUGUUGAAGGCCGUACCUUGGCCUAUAAUGGUUUACUUUUAUAAAUUGUUACUUGGAUGGAGAGUUGUCUCAUUGGCACUCAUACCACAUCUUCCUAUAUCUAUUGACACAUCUGUGUCAUCUCUACUAUCGUUCACUAAAAUAUCGUCAUUUGAGCUUUACGGACCAGCAAUAGGUUGUAAUUUAGGUUGGAUUGGUCGGUCCGACAUCUGUUUGAUCAGGAUUCGUUACUAUGAGAGCUCCCUCUGCCUCUACAUCAGCCCCUACAACCACGCCCACGUGUUCUAGUAUACUUUGGUAGCAUAACUGUAUUGUUUCCGAGAAAUCUACGUAUUAUUCAGAAAUAGAAGGAAUGGACCUGUAAUUAUAUGGAACACGUUGUUGACGUUAUUGCUGAGAACGUAGUAAGAUCGCGGUAUGAACGUAAUAUAAUCGUGGUAAGAACGAAUUAUAA
Molecule: long non-coding RNA, 591 nt
Filed under: Mytilus galloprovincialis (Mediterranean mussel)
Lineage: Eukaryota; Metazoa; Mollusca; Bivalvia; Mytilida; Mytilidae
Source: RNAcentral